This 1030-nucleotide long non-coding RNA is filed under the name Callithrix jacchus (white-tufted-ear marmoset). RNAcentral describes it as "lncRNA (ENSCJAG00000072019.1)". Lineage: Eukaryota; Metazoa; Chordata; Mammalia; Primates; Cebidae. The record is from RNAcentral.
AUGAGAGCCGUGAGAACAAUGCGUGUCAGCUGUAUCCAUUCCUGUAGGACUUGGAUUUUGGGAUUACAUUCUGAUGUAUCAUCUGCAAAAUCAUUCUGCAUGGUUCUUUACCAGGGUCUCACUCUGUUGCCCAGGCUGGAGCAUAGUGAUGUGAUCUUGACUGACUGCAGCCUCCACCUCCCGGGCUCAAGAGAUUCUCCUGCCUCAGCCUUCUGAAGUGACUACAGGUGCGCACCACCAUGCCAGAUUAAUUUUCGUAUUCUUAGUAGAGAUGGGGUUCAUCCUUUUGGCCAGCCUGGUCUCAAACUCCUGGGCUCAAGUGAUCCACCCGCCUUUUGAAAAGAAUUUUAUAUUUCCAUUCACUGCUGUGCUCCUCCUGCGGCCCGUGUUUGUUGAGUGCUGUGUGGAAGCUGUGAUCUGUGAAGGGAGGAGUUGGCGAAGCUAACUUCCCUGCCCAGGGAGCCAGCCUGGAGCGGUGAACCCCAGAAGUGGAGGCAGGCUGGAUGGCAGCGUGGGCUACUCAAGGAAGGAAAGCAGACCAGGGUUGCGCAGACGUGGAAUCCCGGAGAAGGGAUCGGGAAGUUCACAGCGUGCAGUGGGGUGGUCAGGGUCAGCCUUGUGGAGAAGGUGAGAUUUGGACCCGCUCCGUCUAGGGAAAGGAGGUUCCCAGCAGAGGGAAUCGCUAAAGCAGAAGCAUGCCCAGCUUGUGGAAAAACAGCAGAGAGGCCCGCACAGCUGGUGCAAGAGUGAGAUAAGGGAGGCUGAGACCCCUCAGGCCCCAGAGCAGGCUGGCCUGGUAGGCUGUUUGGGGCCUUGGCUUUUAUCCUGAGUGACAUGGGAAAGUAUCACAGGGUUUGACAUGGUCUGACUUCAUCCAUGUCCCUGCAAAGGACAUGAUCUCAUUCUUUUUCAUGGCUGUGUAGUAUUCCAUGGUGGAUAUAUACCCCAUUUUCUUUAUCCAGUCUAAAUCAACCAAUAUUUAGGUUGAUUCCAUGUCUUUGCUAUUGUGAAUAAGCACUGAAAUUCUUAC